ACCUACGGGGGGCAGCAGUGGGGAAUAUUGCACAAUGGGGGAAACCCUGAUGCAGCGACGCCGCGUGAGUGAAGAAGUAUUUCGGUAUGUAAAGCUCUAUCAGCAGGGAAGAUAAUGACGGUACCUGACUAAGAAGCCCCGGCUAACUACGUGCCAGCAGCCGCGGUAAUACGUAGGGGGCAAGCGUUAUCCGGAUUUACUGGGUGUGAAGGGAGCGUAGGUGGCAGGGCAAGGCAGAUGUGAAAACCCGUGGCUCAACCCCGGGAGUGCAUUUGAAACUGUCCAUCUGGAGUGCAGGAGAGGUA
This 305-nucleotide ribosomal RNA is filed under the name uncultured bacterium. Its description in RNAcentral is "bacterial SSU rRNA". It matches the Rfam family "Bacterial small subunit ribosomal RNA", at positions 337 to 659 of the family's 1533-position model. The record is from RNAcentral.